This 538-nucleotide ribosomal RNA is filed under the name uncultured bacterium. Its description in RNAcentral is "bacterial SSU rRNA". It matches the Rfam family "Bacterial small subunit ribosomal RNA", at positions 777 to 1314 of the family's 1533-position model. The record is from RNAcentral.
AAUAGAUACCCGGGUAGUCCACGCCGUAAACGAUGUCGACUUGGAGGUUGUGCCCUUGGGGCGUGGCUUCCGGAGCUAACGCGUUAAGUCGACCGCCUGGGGAGUACGGCCGCAAGGUUAAAACUCAAAUGAAUUGACGGGGGGCCCGCACAAGCGGUGGAGCAUGUGGUUUAAUUCGAUGCAACGCGAAGAACCUUACCUGGUCUUGACAUCCACGGAAGUUUUCAGAGAUGAGAAUGUGCCUUCGGGAACCGUGAGACAGGUGCUGCAUGGCUGUCGUCAGCUCGUGUUGUGAAAUGUUGGGUUAAGUCCCGCAACGAGCGCAACCCUUAUCCUUUGUUGCCAGCGGUUAGGCCGGGAACUCAAAGGAGACUGCCAGUGAUAAACUGGAGGAAGGUGGGGAUGACGUCAAGUCAUCAUGGCCCUUACGACCAGGGCUACACACGUGCUACAAUGGCAUAUACAAAGAGAAGCGACCUCGCGAGAGCAAGCGGACCUCAUAAAGUAUGUCGUAGUCCGGAUUGGAGUCUGCAACUCG